GACGGAAGGUGCAAGCGUUGCUCGGAAUCACUGGGCGUAAAGGGUGCGUAGGCGGCGCGGUAAGUCGGGUGUGAAAUCUCGGGGCUUAACUCCGAAACUGCAUUCGAUACUGCCGUGCUUGAGGACUGGAGAGGAGACUGGAAUUUACGGUGUAGCGGUGAAAUGCGUAGAUAUCGUAAGGAAGACCAGUGGCGAAGGCGGGUCUCUGGACAGUUCCUGACGCUGAGGCACGAAGGCCAGGGGAGCAAACGGG
RNAcentral lists this ribosomal RNA (253 nucleotides) under uncultured bacterium. RNAcentral describes it as "partial 16S ribosomal RNA". It matches the Rfam family "Bacterial small subunit ribosomal RNA", at positions 524 to 776 of the family's 1533-position model. The record is from RNAcentral.